Diprion similis is the source of this 149-nucleotide long non-coding RNA. RefSeq lists it as uncharacterized. NCBI's taxonomy places the organism in Eukaryota, Metazoa, Arthropoda, Insecta, Hymenoptera, Diprionidae. The record is from RefSeq and is a predicted model, not a curated record. The transcript is spliced from 3 exons.
AUUAUAAUGAAUGUUCACAAGGACACCGCGUAAAAUUCACUUCGAACGAGCUGUUUGAAAAUAUACUUUCAUUCAUGAGGAUUCACCGAAAGUCUACAAGAGACAAGAAAUCUGACGGACUGUGAUGCGAAUAAACCAGUGACCAUUGA